Molecule: long non-coding RNA, 4156 nt
Filed under: Musa acuminata (dwarf banana)
Lineage: Eukaryota; Viridiplantae; Streptophyta; Magnoliopsida; Zingiberales; Musaceae
Description: long non-coding RNA (MACU_LNC008735)
Source: RNAcentral
UUGCCUCCUUAGAUGCCAUAGUAUAUUCCUCCAAAUCUGUGAUGUUAAGAUCUCUCUUUUGUUGUCGGGCUGAGGGCUUCAGUAUUGCUAAUCCGGGAGCGACCCUAGUCCUUCAGGCUUCAUGGUUUAAUCGCUCCUCUUGAAGUCGUACGAAAGAGAUGGCUGCCAUAAGUGUGUACGGUUGUCGUGCUUUAACUUCUCCCUGGAUCUCCGGCUUCAAACCCUCAAUAAAGGUCACCAAUAGCUGUUUUUGAGACUAAUCACGAGUUUGAUUAGAUAACCUUUCAAACCUUGUUUGGUACUUCUGAAUGGUGGAGGUUUGUCGGAUCUUUGCUAGUUAUCUGUUAAUGUUCUCAUAAUCGGUUGGUCCGAAGCGGAUCAACAGUCCUUCUUUGAAUUGUCGCCAUGAGAGGAUUCCAUGAGUGUGUUCAAACUAGUCAAACCAUUGUAUAGCAUCCCUUUCAAGAUGUAUAGUCGCAAUUUUCACCAUAGAUGCGUCCGUGGUUUUGUGGUACCGAAAAUAUCGCUCCGCGCGCGAGAUCCAACCAAUCGGGUCUCCUUCUUCCCAUCUAGGGAAGUCCACUCUCAAGCGUAGAUAGUUGGGAUCGAUCAUAGAACCUCCCAUCUCUUGGAAGUCAUCUCUUCGGGCUUGGUGCGAUUGGUUAGAGCUCUCCCCUUGAUGUGAUUUCUUCGGGCUUGGUGGUCGGCCCAAACUGAGUUCGGUAAAGAGAGUCCGAAUCUUAUCUUCCAUUCGCGCUUUGAAGGCUUCGAAUUUAGCAUUGAUUGCCUCCUUAGAUGCCAUAGUAUAUGCCUCCAAAUCUGUGAUGUUAAGAUCUCUCUUUUGUUGUCGGGCUGAGGGCUUCAGUAUUGCUAAUCGGGGAGCGACCCAAGUCUUUCAGGCUACAUGGUUCAAUCGCUCCUCUUGAAGUCGUGCGAAAGAGAUGGCUGCCAUAAGUGUGUACGGUUGUCGUGCUUUAACUUCUCCCUGGAUCUCCGGCUUCAAGCCCUAAAUGAAGGUCCCCAAUAGCUGUUUUUGAGACUAAUCACGAGUUUGAUUAGAUAACCUUUUAAACCUUGUUUGGUACUCCUGAAUGGUGGAGGUUUGUCGGAUCUUUGCUAGUUAUCCGUUAAUGUUUUCAUAAUCGGUUGGUCCGAAGCGGAUCAGCAGUCCUUCUUUGAAUUGUCGCCAUGAGAGGAUUCCAUGAGUGUGUUCAAACUAGUCAAACCAUUGUAUGACAUCCCUUUCAAGAUGUAUAGUCACAAUUUUCACCAUAGAUGGGUCCGCGGUUUUGUGGUACCGAAAAUAUCGCUCCGCGCGCGAGAUCCAACCAAUCGGGUCUCCUUCUUCCCAUCUAGGGAAGUCCACCCUCAUGCGUGGAUAGUUGGGAUCGAUCAUAGAACCUCCCCUCUCUUGGAAGUCAUCUCUUCGGGCAUGGUGCGAUUGGUUAGAGCUCUCCCCUUGAUGUGAUUUCUUCGGGCUUGGUGGUCGGCCCAAACUGAGUUCGGUAAAGAGAGUCCGAAUCUUAUCUUCUAUUCGCGCUUCGAAGGCUUCGAAUUUAGCAUUGAUUGCCUCCUUAGAUGCUAUAGUAUAUGCCUCCAAAUAUGUGAUGUUAAGAUCUCUCUUUUGUUGUCGGGCUGAGGGCUUCAGUAUUGCUAAUCGGGGAGCGACCCUAGUCCUUCAGGCUUCAUGGUUCAAUCGCUCCUCUUGAAGUCGUGCGAAAGAGAUGGCUGCCAUAAGUGUGUACGGUUGUCGCGCUUUAACUUCUCCCUGGAUCUCCGGCUUCAAACCCUCAAUGAAGGUCCCCAAUAGCUGUUUUUGAGACUAAUCACGAGUUUGAUUAGAUAACCUUUCAAACCUUGUUUGGUACUCCUGAAUGGUGGAGGUUUGUCGGAUUUUUGCUAGUUAUCCGUUAAUGUUCUCAUAAUCGGUUGGUCCGAAGCGGAUCAGCAGUGCUUUUUUGAAUUGUCGCCAUGAGAGGAUUCCAUGAGUGUGUUCAAACUAGUCAAACCAUUGUAUGGCAUCCAUUUCAAGAUGUAUAGUCGCAAUUUUCACCAUAGAUACGUCCGCGGUUUUGUGGUACCGAAAAUAUCGCUCCGCGCGCGAGAUCCGACCAAUCGGGUCUCCUUCUUCUCAUCUAGGGAUGUCCACCCUCAUGAGUGGAUAGUUGGGAUCGAUCAUAGAACCUCCCCUCUCUUGGAAGUCAUCUCUUCGGGCUUGGUGAGAUUGGAUAGAGCUGUCCCCUUGAUGUGAUUUCUUCGUGCUUGGUGGUCGGCCCAAACUGAGUUCUGUAAAGAGAGUCCGAAUCUUAUCUUCCAUUCGCGCUUCGAAGGCUUCGAAUUUAGCAUUGAUUGCUUCCUUAGAUGCCAUAGUAUGUGCCUCCAAAUCUGUGAUGUUAAUAUCUCUCUUUUGUUGACGUGCUGAGGGCUUCAGUAUUGCUAAUCGGGGAGCGACCCUAGUCCUUCAGGCUUCAUGGUUUAAUCGCUCCUCUUGAAGUCGUGCGAAAGAGAUGGCUGCCAUAAGUGUGUACGGUUGUCGUGCUUUAACUUCUCCCUGGAUCUCCGGCUUCAAACCCUCAAUGAAGGUCCCCAAUAGCUGUUUUUGAGACUAAUCACGAGUUUGAUUAGAUAACAUUUCAAAUCUUGUUUGGUACUCCUGAAUGGUGGAGGUUUGUCGGAUCUUUGCUAGUUAUCCGUUAAUGUUCUCAUAAUCGGUUGGUCCGAAGCGGAUCAGUAGUCUUUCUUUGAAUUGUCGCCAUGAGAGGAUUCCAUGAGUGUGUUCAAACUAGUCAAACCAUCGUAUGGCAUCCCUUUCAAGAUGUAUUGUCGCAAUUUUUACCAUAGAUGCGUCCGUGGUUUUGUGGUAUCGAAAAUAUCGCUCCGCGCGCGAGAUCCAACCAAUCGGGUCUCCUUCUUCCCAUCUAGGGAAGUCCACCCUCAUGCGUAGAUAGUUGGGAUCGAUCAUAGAACCUCCCAUCUCUUGGAAGUCAUCUAUUUGGGCUUGGUGCGAUUGGUUAGAGCUCUCCCCUUAAUGUGAUUUCUUCGGGCUUGGUGGUCGGCCCAAACUGAGUUCGGUAAAGAGAGUCUGAAUCUUAUCUUCUAUUCGCGCUUCGAAGGCUUCGAAUUUAGCAUUGAUUGCCUCCUUAGAUGCUAUAGUAUAUGCCUCCAAAUCUGUGAUGUUAAGAUCUCUCUUUUGUUGUCGGGCUGAGGGCUUCAGUAUUGCUAAUCGGGGAGCGACCCUAGUCCUUCAGGCUUCAUGGUUCAAUCGCUCCUCUUGAAGUCGUGCGAAAGAGAUAGCUGCCAUAAGUGUGGACGGUUGUCUCGCUUUAACUUCUCCCUGGAUAUCCGGCUUCAAGCCCUCAAUGAAGGUCCCCAAUAGUUUUUUUUGAGACUAAUCACGAGUUUGAUUAGAUAACCAUUCAAACCUUGUUUGGUACUCCUGAAUGGUGGAGGUUUGUCGGAUCUUUGCUUGUUAUCUGUUAAUGUUCUCAUAAUCGGUUGGUCCGAAGCAGAUCAACAGUCCUUCUUUGAAUUAUCGCCAUGAGAGGAUUCCAUGAGUGUGUUCAAACUAGUCAAACCAUUGUAUGGCAUCCCUUUCAAGAUGUAUAGUCGUAAUUUUCACCAUAGAUGCGUCCGCGGUUUUAUGGUAUCGAAAAUAUCGCUCCGUGCGCGAGAUCCAACCAAUCGGGUCUCCUUCUUCCCAUCUAGGGAAGUCCACCCUCAUGCGUUGAUAGUUGGGAUCGAUUAUAGAACCUCCCCUCUCUUGGAAGUCAUCUCUUUGGGUUUGGUGCGAUUGGUUAGAGCUCUCCCCUUGAUGUGAUUUCUUCGGGCUUGGUGGUUGGCCCAAACUGAGUUCGGUAAAGAGAGUCCGAAUCUUAUCUUCCAUUCUCGCUUCAAAGGCUUCAAAUUUAGCAUUGAUUGCCUCCUUAGAUGACAUAGUAUAUGCCUCCAAAUCUGUGAUGUUAAGAUCUCUCUUUUGUUGUCGGGUUAAAGGCAUGUAUAGGUUGAGAGAAGUGAUGGUUUAAAGGGUUGGUGGAUUGGUGGAUGUAGGCUGCGGUUUAUGCUUGUUUUGUGGCUGUUUUGGGUGCAGUUGAGGGUGUGGUUUGGUGGAGUUUUAGGGCUGUGGAUGAAAGUUUUAGAUCUGUGGUAGAUGGCAGCA